GUCGAGAUCGCAUAGUGGUAGUGCGCCAGUCUGGAAAGCUGGUGGGUUUUGCCCUCGGGGGUUCGAAUCCCUCUCUCGACG
Molecule: transfer RNA, 81 nt
Filed under: Candidatus Aenigmarchaeota archaeon ex4484_52
Lineage: Archaea; Nanobdellati; Candidatus Aenigmatarchaeota
Also listed under: 1 other name
Description: tRNA-Ser
Rfam family: tRNA
About the family: Transfer RNA (tRNA) molecules are approximately 80 nucleotides in length. Their secondary structure includes four short double-helical elements and three loops (D, anti-codon, and T loops). Further hydrogen bonds mediate the characteristic L-shaped molecular structure. tRNAs have two regions of fundamental functional importance: the anti-codon, which is responsible for specific mRNA codon recognition, and the 3' end, to which the tRNAs corresponding amino acid is attached (by aminoacyl-tRNA synthetases). tRNAs cope with the degeneracy of the genetic code in two manners: having more than one tRNA (with a specific anti-codon) for a particular amino acid; and 'wobble' base-pairing, i.e. permitting non-standard base-pairing at the 3rd anti-codon position.
Source: RNAcentral